AUUGAACGCUGGCGGCAGGCUUAACACAUGCAAGUCGAGCGGGGAAGAGUAGCUUGCUACUUGACCUAGCGGCGGACGGGUGAGUAAUGCUUAGGAAUCUGCCUAUUAGUGGGGGACAACAUCUCGAAAGGGAUGCUAAUACCGCAUACGUCCUACGGGAGAAAGCAGGGGACCUUCGGGCCUUGCGCUAAUAGAUGAGCCUAAGUCGGAUUAGCUAGUUGGUGGGGUAAAGGCCUACCAAGGCGACGAUCUGUAGCGGGUCUGGGAGGAUGAUCCGCCACACUGGGACUGAGACACGGCCCAGACUCCUACGGGAGGCAGCAGUGGGGAAUAUUGGACAAUGGGGGGAACCCUGAUCCAGCCAUGCCGCGUGUGUGAAGAAGGCCUUUUGGUUGUAAAGCACUUUAAGCGAGGAGGAGGCUACCGAGAUUAAUACUCUUGGAUAGUGGACGUUACUCGCAGAAUAAGCACCGGCUAACUCUGUG
This 485-nucleotide ribosomal RNA is filed under the name uncultured bacterium. Its description in RNAcentral is "partial 16S ribosomal RNA". It matches the Rfam family "Bacterial small subunit ribosomal RNA", at positions 30 to 507 of the family's 1533-position model. The record is from RNAcentral.